AGAUAACCCUGCAAGGUAAUUAUUGCAGUUUAUAAAAAACUGCAAUAAUUACACUUGCAGGGUUAAGGGUAGUGGGAGUUGCCACUCAGACCACUCCAAUGGGCAGAAGUGGUCUGGGUUCCUGGAGUGUCCCUUUAAGAUCUUUAUGUAGACUGCACAAGCUUUGACGUCUUUUCAACUAUAUGGCAUUUUCAUGUUUUUCUAUGUGAUACCUCUGCUG
Pelobates cultripes (western spadefoot toad) is the source of this 220-nucleotide non-coding RNA. The record is from the annotation of a GenBank genome assembly. NCBI's taxonomy places the organism in Eukaryota, Metazoa, Chordata, Amphibia, Anura, Pelobatidae.